Molecule: ribosomal RNA, 329 nt
Filed under: uncultured bacterium
Lineage: Bacteria
Description: bacterial SSU rRNA
Rfam family: Bacterial small subunit ribosomal RNA
Source: RNAcentral
CCAGCUUGCUGGGGUGGAUGAGUGGCGAACGGGUGAGUAACACGUGAGUAACCUGCCCCGACUUCGGGAUAAGCCCGGGAAACUGGGUCUAUUAACGGAUAUGACUCUCUAACGCAUGUUGGAGAGUGGAACAGUUUCCCGGGGAUGGGCUUGGCCUAUCAGUUUGUGGUGAGGUAUGGCUCACCAAGACGAGACGGGUAGCCGGCCUGAGAGGGCGACCGGCCACACUGGGACUGAGACACGGCCCAGACUCCUACGGGAGGCAGCAGUUGGGAAUAUUGCACAAUGGGGGAAACCCUGAUGCAGCGACGCAGCGUGCGGGAUGACGG